AGCGAGAAGCCUUCCUUCGGAAGGUGGACAGUGGCGGACGGGUGAGUAACGCGUGGGAACCUACCUACGGUACGGAAUAACUGCGGGAAACUGCAGCUAAUACCGUAUGCGCCCUUGGGGGAAAGAUUUAUCGCCGUUGGAUGGGCCCGCGCCCGAUUAGCUUGUGGUGAGGUAGGGGCUCACCAAGGCUCCGAUCGGUAGCUGGUCUGAGAGGUGAUCAGCCACACUGGGACUGAGACACGGCCCAGACUCCUACGGGAGGCGCAGUGGGGAAUAUUGGACAAUGGGGGCAACCCUGAUCCAGCCAUGCCGGUGAGUGAAGAAGGCCCUAGGGUUGUAAAACUCUUUCACCAGGGACGAUAUGACGGUACCUGGAGAAGAAGCCCCGGCUAACUCCGUGCCAGCAGCCG
Molecule: ribosomal RNA, 410 nt
Filed under: uncultured bacterium
Lineage: Bacteria
Description: bacterial SSU rRNA
Rfam family: Bacterial small subunit ribosomal RNA
Source: RNAcentral